AGGGCACGCCGGACGGCUGCGGCGGGGGAGACAACCCGUCGAGGAAAGUCCGGACACCACAGGGCAUGGUGGUCGGCGCAAGCCGACCCGGGGAAACCCGCGGGAAAGUGCCACAGAGACAUACCGCCGAUGGCGGGGGCGCACGUGCACCCCGCACAGGCAAGGGUGAAAAGGUGCGGUAAGAGCGCACCGGCGUCACGGCGACGUGGCGGCCAGGCAAACCCCACCAGGUGCAAGGCCAAGCAGGACCGCUCGCAGGCUGCCCGCCGAGGUCCAGGUCGGCCGCUCAGAUGGAUGGUCGUCCACGACAAGAUCCGGCUUACAGGCGUGCUACGGCG
Molecule: RNase P RNA, 338 nt
Filed under: Baekduia soli
Lineage: Bacteria; Bacillati; Actinomycetota; Thermoleophilia; Solirubrobacterales; Baekduiaceae
Description: Rubrobacterineae bacterium BR7-21 Bacterial RNase P class A
Rfam family: Bacterial RNase P class A
About the family: Ribonuclease P (RNase P) is a ubiquitous endoribonuclease, found in archaea, bacteria and eukarya as well as chloroplasts and mitochondria. Its best characterised activity is the generation of mature 5'-ends of tRNAs by cleaving the 5'-leader elements of precursor-tRNAs.
Source: Rfam by way of RNAcentral